RNAcentral lists this ribosomal RNA (536 nucleotides) under Psychrobacter celer. RNAcentral's name for it is "bacterial SSU rRNA". It matches the Rfam family "Bacterial small subunit ribosomal RNA", at positions 917 to 1451 of the family's 1533-position model. Lineage: Bacteria; Pseudomonadati; Pseudomonadota; Gammaproteobacteria; Moraxellales; Moraxellaceae. The record is from RNAcentral.
GGGCCCGCACNAGCGGUGGAGCAUGUGGUUUANUUCGAUGCAACGCGAAGAACCUUACCUGGUCUUGACAUACACAGAAUCUUGUAGAGAUACGAGAGUGCCUUCGGGAAUUGUGAUACAGGUGCUGCAUGGCUGUCGUCAGCUNGUGUCGUGAGAUGUUGGGUUAAGUCCCGCAACGAGCGCAACCCUUGUCCUUAGUUACCAGCGGGUUAAGCCGGGAACUCUAAGGAUACUGCCAGUGACAAACUGGAGGAAGGCGGGGACGACGUCAAGUCAUCAUGGCCCUUACGACCAGGGCUACACACNUGCUACAAUGGUAGGUACAGAGGGCAGCUACACAGCGAUGUGAUGCGAAUCUCAAAAAGCCUAUCGUAGUCCAGAUUGGAGUCUGCAACUCGACUCCAUGAAGUAGGAAUCGCUAGUAAUCGCGGAUCAGAAUGCCGCGGUGAAUACGUUCCCGGGCCUUGUACACACCGCCCGUCACACCAUGGGAGUUGAUUGCACCAGAAGUGGUUAGCCGAACCUUUUAGGACGGC